This 119-nucleotide ribosomal RNA is filed under the name Danio rerio (zebrafish). Lineage: Eukaryota; Metazoa; Chordata; Actinopteri; Cypriniformes; Danionidae. The record is from RNAcentral.
AGCCGCAGCCAUUUAUCACCCUGCAGCCCAAAACCGGUUACUCAAUCAAGCUAAGCAAGACUAAGCCUGGUCAGUACCUGGAUGGGAGACCUCAUGUGAAAACUAGGUUGCUGUUGGAA